RNAcentral lists this ribosomal RNA (801 nucleotides) under uncultured Pelagibacteraceae bacterium. RNAcentral's name for it is "bacterial SSU rRNA". It matches the Rfam family "Bacterial small subunit ribosomal RNA", at positions 35 to 884 of the family's 1533-position model. The record is from RNAcentral. Lineage: Bacteria; Pseudomonadati; Pseudomonadota; Alphaproteobacteria; Candidatus Pelagibacterales; Candidatus Pelagibacteraceae.
GCUGGCGGCACGCCUAAUACAUGCAAGUCGAACGAAGUAGCAAUACUUAGUGGCAGACGGGUGAGUAACAUGUAGGUAUCUUCCCUUUGGUGAGGAAUAACACGAGGAAACUUGUGCUAAUACCUCAUAAGUCUUUACGGAGAAAGCUUUAUGCGCCAUUGGAUGAGCCUGCACUUGAUUAGUUAGUUGGUAGGGUAAUGGCCUACCAAGACAUUGAUCAAUAGCUGAUUUGAGAGGAUGAUCAGCCACAUUGGGACUGAGACACGGCCCAAACUCCUACGGGAGGCAGCAGUAGGGAAUCUUGCACAAUGGAGGAAACUCUGAUGCAGCGAUGCCGCGUGAGUGAAGAAGGCCUUUGGGUUGUAAAGCUCUUUCGUCGGGGAAGAAAAUGACUGUACCCGAAUAAGAAGGUCCGGCUAACUUCGUGCCAGCAGCCGCGGUAAUACGAAGGGACCUAGCGUAGUUCGGAAUUACUGGGCUUAAAGAGUUCGUAGGUGGUUAAAAAAGUUGGUGGUGAAAUCCCAGAGCUUAACUCUGGAACUGCCAUCAAAACUUUUUAGCUAGAGUUUGAUAGAGGAAAGCAGAAUUUCUAGUGUAGAGGUGAAAUUCGUAGAUAUUAGAAAGAAUACCGAUUGCGAAGGCAGCUUUCUGGAUCAUUACUGACACUGAGGAACGAAAGCAUGGGUAGCGAAGAGGAUUAGAUACCCUCGUAGUCCAUGCUGUAAACGAUGUGUGUUAGACGUUGGAAAUUUAUUUUCAGUGUCGCAGCGAAAGCAAUAAACACACCGCCUGGGGAGUACG